GCCUUCGUGGUGUAGUGGUCAGCCCGCUCGACGCGUAACCGAGAGGUCCGGGGUUCGAUUCCCGGCAAAGGCU
RNAcentral lists this transfer RNA (73 nucleotides) under Stegodyphus mimosarum. It matches the Rfam family "tRNA". Rfam says of the family: Transfer RNA (tRNA) molecules are approximately 80 nucleotides in length. Lineage: Eukaryota; Metazoa; Arthropoda; Arachnida; Araneae; Eresidae. The record is from Rfam by way of RNAcentral.